UGCAAUGACAGUUGAGUGGAGACGAGAUUUUGAACGCAGCGGUUGUGUUUUUUUCGCGUGAUCUGAAGCAAAUUUCGGAGAUAUUUCAUCCGAAAUCGUUUGAAAUUCUACGAAUUCACAUCAUUGGUACGAGGCACAAUAAAAAGUGGCCCAAAAAGGUUCAUCGGAAUGCUGGAGCUUUGGUGUCCAAGUUCCGGACAAUCUUUGGCCUAGUUGCGGACAAGCCGUGGCCAAGUCAAGUCGUUCAAAAGUGUUGGCCAAGCUGCGGACAAGACGUGGUCAUGAAUUCAUCAGGCAGAUUCCGGCAACAAAGUGUGGGUGCUGAUCCGCUCCCGGCUCCCGUGCGCGUUCCGCUUCCCAGCUUCCCGAAAAAUGUGAUAAAUUUAGUGAAAAGUGUUAAACGAUAAAAAUGAUGAAGUGUUUUAAGUGUUUUUUUGUGAAUAAACCAUUUUGAAACCUA
Long non-coding RNA from Culex pipiens pallens (northern house mosquito), 460 nucleotides. RefSeq lists it as uncharacterized. The record is from RefSeq and is a predicted model, not a curated record. Lineage: Eukaryota; Metazoa; Arthropoda; Insecta; Diptera; Culicidae. The transcript is spliced from 2 exons.